RNAcentral lists this ribosomal RNA (476 nucleotides) under uncultured bacterium. RNAcentral describes it as "partial 16S ribosomal RNA". It matches the Rfam family "Bacterial small subunit ribosomal RNA", at positions 29 to 507 of the family's 1533-position model. The record is from RNAcentral.
AUGAACGCUGGCGGCGUGCCUAAUCCCUGCAAGUCGAGCGAACAGACGAGGAGCUUGCUCCUCUGACGUUAGCGGCGGACGGGUGAGUAACACGUGGAUAACCUACCUAUAAGACUGGGAUAACUUCGGGAAACCGGAGCUAAUACCGGAUAAUAUAUUGAACCGCAUGGUUCCAUAGUGAAAGACGGUUUUGCUGUCACUUAUAGAUGGAUCCGCGCCGCAUUAGCUAGUUGGUAAGGUAACGGCUUACCAAGGCAACGAUGCGUAGCCGACCUGAGAGGGUGAUCGGCCACACUGGAACUGAGACACGGUCCAGACUCCUACGGGAGGCAGCAGUGGGGAAUAUUGCACAAUGGGCGGAAGCCUGAUGCAGCAACGCCGCGUGCGGGAUGACGGCCUUCGGGUUGUAAACCGCUUUCGCCUGUGACGAAGCGUGAGUGACGGUAAUGGGUAAAGAAGCACCGGCUAACUACGUG